This 253-nucleotide ribosomal RNA is filed under the name uncultured bacterium. RNAcentral describes it as "partial 16S ribosomal RNA". It matches the Rfam family "Bacterial small subunit ribosomal RNA", at positions 524 to 776 of the family's 1533-position model. The record is from RNAcentral.
UACAGAGGCCACGAGCGUUAAUCGGAAUCACUGGGCUUAAAGGGUGCGUAGGCUGGUCGGUAAGUGUCUCGUGAAAUCCCUUGGCUCAACCAAGGAACCGCGGGGCAUACUGCCGAUCUCGAGGAAGGUAGAGGCUGUCGGAACGCUAGGUGGGGCGGUGGAAUGCGUAGAGAUCUAGCGGAACGCCGAAAGUGAAGACAGGCAGCUGGGCCUUUCCUGACGCUGAGGCACGAAAGCGUGGGGAGCAAACCGG